RNAcentral lists this ribosomal RNA (742 nucleotides) under uncultured Bacteroidota bacterium. Its description in RNAcentral is "bacterial SSU rRNA". It matches the Rfam family "Bacterial small subunit ribosomal RNA", at positions 46 to 794 of the family's 1533-position model. Lineage: Bacteria; Pseudomonadati; Bacteroidota. The record is from RNAcentral.
GCCUAAUACAUGCAAGUUUCGAACGGUGGUAGCAAUACCAUAGUGGCGCACGGGUGCGUAACGCGUAACCAACCUGCCCCGAUCUGGGGGAUAGCCCGCCGAAAGGCGGAUUAAUACCGCAUAACCCAACAAGGUGGCAUCACCUAAUUGGUAAAGAUUUAUUGGAUCGGGAUGGGGUUGCGUGACAUUAGCUAGUUGGCGGGGUAACGGCCCACCAAGGCGACGAUGUCUAGGGGACCUGAGAGGGUGAUCCCCCACACUGGCACUGAGAUACGGGCCAGACUCCUACGGGAGGCAGCAGUAGGGAAUAUUGGGCAAUGGACGAGAGUCUGACCCAGCCAUGCCGCGUGCCGGAUGAAGGCCUUCUGGGUUGUAAACGGCUUUUCUCAGGGAAGAAAAAGGGGAUGCGUCCUCAACUGACGGUACCUGAGGAAUAAGCACCGGCUAACUCCGUGCCAGCAGCCGCGGUAAUACGGAGGGUGCAAGCGUUGUCCGGAUUUAUUGGGUUUAAAGGGUGCGUAGGCGGCUUGUUAAGUCCGGGGUGAAAGCCCACUGCUCAACAGUGGAACUGCCCUGGAUACUGGCAAGCUUGAGUCCAGACGAGGUUGGCGGAAUGGAUGGUGUAGCGGUGAAAUGCAUAGAUACCAUCCAGAACCCCGAUUGCGAAGGCAGCUGACUAGGCUGGUACUGACGCUGAGGCACGAAAGCGUGGGGAGCGAACAGGAUUAGAUACCCUGGUAGU